CGGGUAGUUAAGUCAGAAGUGAAAUCCAAGUAGCUCAACUAGUGAACUGCUUUUGAAACUGAUUACCUAGAAUAUGGGAGAGGUAGAUGGAAUUUCUGGUGUAGGGGUAAAAUCCGUAGAGAUCAGAAGGAAUACCGAUUGCGAAGGCGAUCUACUGGAACAUUAUUGACGCUGAGACGCGAAAGCGUGGGGAGCAAACAGGAUUAGAUACCCUGGUAGUCCACGCCCUAAACGAUGUACACUAGUUGUUGUGAGGCUCGACCUUGCAGUAAUGCAGUUAACACAUUAAGUGUACCGCCUGGGGAGUACGGUCGCAAGAUUAAAACUCAAAGGAAUAGACGGGGACCCGCACAAGCGGUGGAGCAUGUGGUUUAAUUCGACGAUACACGAAGAACCUUACCUGGACUUGACAUAGUAAGAACUUUCUAGAGAUAGAUUGGUGUCUGCUUGCAGAAACUUAUAUACAGGUGCUGCACGGCUGUCGUCAGCUCGCGUCGUGAGAUGUUGGGUUAAGUCCCGCAACGAGCGCAACCCUCGUCAUUAGUUGCUAACAGUUCGGCUGAGAACUCUAAUGAGACUGCCUACGCAAGUAGGAGGAAGGUGAGGACGACGUCAAGUCAUCAUGGCCCUUACGUCCGGGGCUACACACGUGCUACAAUGGGGUAUACAAAGAGCCGCAAUACGGUGACGUGGAGCAAAUCUCAAAAAUAUCUCCCAGUUCGGAUUGUAGUCUGCAACUCGACUACAUGAAGUUGGAAUCGCU
This 763-nucleotide ribosomal RNA is filed under the name uncultured Arcobacter sp. Its description in RNAcentral is "bacterial SSU rRNA". It matches the Rfam family "Bacterial small subunit ribosomal RNA", at positions 576 to 1336 of the family's 1533-position model. The record is from RNAcentral. Lineage: Bacteria; Pseudomonadati; Campylobacterota; Epsilonproteobacteria; Campylobacterales; Arcobacteraceae.